GUGCACCAGUCGAGAAAACUUCACAAUGUGCGAAAGCACGAUGAGGGAAUCCCAAGUGCUUGCACGUAAGUGUAAGCUGUUUCUCUGUCUAAAACGCAGAGAGAGUAAGGGCUGGGUAAGACGGGUGCCAGCCGCCGCGGUAAUACCUGCAGCUCGAGUGGUGACCGUUAUUAUUGGGCCUAAAACGUCCGUAGCCGGUUUAAUAAAUGCCUGGGUAAAUCGGACCGCUUAACGGUUCGAAUUCCGGGUAGACUGUUAAACUUGAGACCGGGAGAAGUUAGAGGUACUCCUGGGGUAGAGGUGAAAUUCUGUAAUCCUAGGGGGACCACCAGUGGCGAAGGCGUCUAACUAGAACGGGUCUGACGGUGAGGGACGAAGCCCUGGGGCGCAAACGGGAUUAGAUACCCCCGUAGU
Molecule: ribosomal RNA, 414 nt
Filed under: uncultured microorganism
Description: bacterial SSU rRNA
Rfam family: Archaeal small subunit ribosomal RNA
Source: RNAcentral